UACAGAGGUCUCAAGCGUUGUUCGGAUUCAUUGGGCGUAAAGGGUGUGUAGGUGGCGCGCUAAGUCGGGUGUGAAAUUUCGGAGCUUAACUCCGAAACUGCAUUCGAUACUGGCGUGCUUGAGGACUGGAGAGGAGACUGGAAUUUACGGUGUAGCAGUGAAAUGCGUAGAGAUCGGGAGGAACACCUGUGGCGAAGGCGGCCCCCUGGGCCGGCCCUGACACUGAGACGCGAAGGCGUGGGGAGCGAACGGG
RNAcentral lists this ribosomal RNA (253 nucleotides) under uncultured bacterium. RNAcentral describes it as "partial 16S ribosomal RNA". It matches the Rfam family "Bacterial small subunit ribosomal RNA", at positions 524 to 776 of the family's 1533-position model. The record is from RNAcentral.